RNAcentral lists this ribosomal RNA (1140 nucleotides) under uncultured organism. RNAcentral describes it as "bacterial SSU rRNA". It matches the Rfam family "Bacterial small subunit ribosomal RNA", at positions 89 to 1199 of the family's 1533-position model. The record is from RNAcentral.
AGAAUAGUGGCGAAAGGGUGAGUAAUGCAAGGGUAACAUGCCCUUAAGCUGGGGAUAACUCCGAGAAAUCGGAGCUAAUACCGAAUGUGGUCCUUUGAUGGAAUCAUUAGAGGACUAAAGAUGGGGACCCUUCGGGGCCUUUCGCUUAAGGAGUGGCUCUUGUCCUAUUAGCCUGUUGGUGGGGUAACGGCUCACCAAAGCAAUAAUGGGUAGCUGGUCUGAGAGGAUGAUCAGCCACACUGGGACUGAGACACUGCCCAGACUCCUACGGGAGGCUGCAGUCGAGAAUCUUUCGCAAUGGGGGAAACCCUGACGAAGCGACGCCGCGUGGAGGAUGAAGGCCCUCGGGUUGUAAACUCCUGUCACUUGGGAUGAAAAGUGGGGCCAUUAAUACCGGUUCUGCCUGACAGUACCUUGAAAGGAAGCUCCGGCUAACUACGUGCCAGCAGCCGCGGUAAUACGUAGGGAGCAAGCGUUGUUCGGAUUUACUGGGCGUAAAGGGUGUGUAGGUUGCUUGGUAAGUCAGUUGUGAAAUCCUUACUGCUCAACAGAAGAAUUGCAAUUGAUACUACCAGGCUAGAGUUCGGUAGAGGAGAGCGGAAUUCUCGGUGUAGCGGUGAAAUGCGUAGAUAUCGAGAAGAACACCAGUGGCGUAGGCGGCUCUCUAGCCCGAUACUGACACUGAAACACGAAAGCGUGGGUAGCGAACGGGGAUUAGAUACCCCGGUAGUCCACGCCGUAAACGAUGGGUACUAGGUGCAGGUGGUAUCGAUCCCUUCUGUGCCGAAGCAAACGCGUUAAGUACCCCGCCUGGGGAGUACGGCCGCAAGGCUAAAACUCAAAGGAAUAGACGGGGGCCCGCACAAGCGGUGGAGCAUGUGGUUUAAUACGACGCAACGCGUAGAACCUUACCAGGGCUUGACAUGCUGGUGGUACUGGCUCCGAAAGGAGACAGGACCCUUCGGGGAGCCAACACAGAUGUUGCACGGCUGUCGUCAGCUCGUGUCGUGAGAUGUUGGGUUAAGUCCCGCAACGAGCGCAACCCUUGUCCUUAGUUGCCAGCAGGUAAUGCUGGGGACUCUAAGGAGACUGCCUGUGAUAAGCAGGAGGAAGGUGAGGAUGACGUCAAGUCAUUGUGGC